ACUGCUGUGGUUGAAGGAGGAGAAAUACAGCUUUUGCUUUAACCAAAAAUUAGAUAACACUAAAAGAUAUAGAAAAGGGAUGGGUUUGGCUACACGAGAUUAGAUUCUUAGUUGGUCUAUAUAGAGCCAGUAAGGUUUGCAGGAUGUGGAGACUUAUGAGUUGAUAUUCGAGAAAACAGACAGAAAUCCCUAGUUUCAGUACCAGCUAAAGCUAUCUCCUACUGCUGAAAAGUUGAAGGCUCGAACCGAUUUGUACAUACAGAACAUAUCAGAGGAUGAACAACUAAGAAUGGCAUUAGAGCAAAGUCAGUGUACGGUGGAGAACCAGACUGCAUUAAAAGUGUUACCAUAUAAGGAACCGACGAGUCACGUGAUGAAUAAACAGGCACCAUUGAGACGAGAUAAACCCAUAUCUGAAUUGUCAGAAGAGGAACAGAUUCAAAGAGCUAUAGAAGAAAGCAAGUUGUUAUUAAACAAUCAACACCAUCAUAAUUGUGACAAGAUGGAUUUCGAGACAAACAAAGAAAAUUGGGUUAAUUGGUCUGAGGAUUGCAGGCCAAUUGGAUGGAACUGAUAGACAUUCUCCAAAUAGUGAGUCUGUUUAUGAAAGCAGUGGAAACACAUCUUUUUCGUGUAUGAAAAGAAAGAGUUUGUCUGGUGAUAAACAAAAGCGAGAGCUAGAACAGUGUGGAGCCGAUCAUUGAAUUAGUUGAAGACAAUAGCCCUUCGAGUCGCUCGAGGAAACGACUUUGCUUAGAUACACCAAGCACAGAACAGCUGGCUACGCAACUGAGUGGAGAAUACUUUAGUGUCACACCUGUUCCGCCAUUUACUUUGUCAGACAGCGAUGAAGUUGAAGAGUUCUCUAAAGCCAUGUUUAUUGAUGCCAGUAGUGGCAAGCAAGAUGUUGAUGGAAAUACGCCAACGGAGGCGAGUAGGGAGAGCUUGCAAGAUACUGACAGCCAUGAAACAGAAAAGAAGAACUUAGCUAAAGCCAUGGCUUGCAGCUUGGCUGAACAUCUGAACAUCAUGAUAUGAUGACCGAGGAAGAACAGUUAAAACAUGCUUUGAGUCUGAGCUUACAAGAGUGUGGAGAUGUAGAGUGUUUGGAUUUGGGUGAAAGCAUUGAUGAUGAGAUGAUACCGGACAGUGAAGUAGAACCAAAAAUUGGCAAUGAAAGACAUGCCUAUCGUCUGGUUAGUGUGGUGAGUCAUAUCGGAAUGGGUUCAAGAACAGGGCAUUACUUGUGUGAUGUAUAUGAUCCGACUGCAAAAGUAUGAAAAAGCUGUGACGAUUCUACUGUUAGAGAUAUUGAGAAGUUGGAGGUUCGACAGAAGAGAAGUACGACUGGCUACAUAUUCUUCUAUAUGCACAAAAAAAUAUUUUCUGCCAUUGACAUUAAGAAGUCCUGAAGAUUGUUAUAUUGAUUUGAAUUCUUUUGUAAUAAUGAGAUAGUAGAACAAAAGGAUUAAUAGGCGACCGUUACAA
Molecule: long non-coding RNA, 1488 nt
Organism: Corticium candelabrum
Lineage: Eukaryota; Metazoa; Porifera; Homoscleromorpha; Homosclerophorida; Plakinidae
Exons: 7
Source: RefSeq, a predicted model, not a curated record